Molecule: ribosomal RNA, 420 nt
Filed under: bacterium
Lineage: Bacteria
Description: partial 16S ribosomal RNA
Rfam family: Bacterial small subunit ribosomal RNA
Source: RNAcentral
UGGGGGAUAUUGCACAAUGGGCGAAAGCCUGAUGCAGCGACGCCGCGUGGGGGAUGAAGGCUUUCGGGUUGUAAACCUCUUUCGCUAUCGAACAAGGCCCGCUUAGGGUGGGUUGAGGGUAGGUGGAGAAGAAGCGCCGGCUAACUACGUGCCAGCAGCCGCGGUAAUACGUAGGGCGCGAGCGUUGUCCGGAAUUAUUGGGCGUAAAGGGCUUGUAGGCGGCUUGUUGCGCCUGCUGUGAAAACGCGGGGCUUAACUUCGCGCGUGCAGUGGGUACGGGCAGGCUUGAGUGUGGUAGGGGUGACUGGAAUUCCAGGUGUAGCGGUGGAAUCCGCAGAUAUCUGGAGGAACACCGAUGGCGAAGGCAGGUCACUGGGCCAUUACUGACGCUGAGGAGCGAAAGCAUGGGUAGCGAACAGG